RNAcentral lists this small RNA (678 nucleotides) under Pongo abelii (Sumatran orangutan). RNAcentral describes it as "processed transcript". The record is from RNAcentral. Lineage: Eukaryota; Metazoa; Chordata; Mammalia; Primates; Hominidae.
GGACCGGCCGAACCCUGGGUGUGGGACAGGUGCGUGUGUGUGGUGUUUUCCCAAGGGCAGGAAGGUGGCGAAGGGAGGCGAAUCCGAGUGGGUGGAGGGAGGGGAAGGGCGGGAGGAGAAAAAGGUGGGAGGAGGACCAGGUGGGAGGGUGGCGGCUCACUCAGGACCCAGCGGGGGCAGCGCGAUGAGGCGGGUGACCCUGUUCCUGAACGGCAGCCCCAAGAACGGAAAGGUGGUUGCUGUAUAUGGAACUUUAUCUGAUUUGCUUUCUGUGGCCAGCAGUAAACUCGGCAUAAAAGCCACCAGUGUGUAUAAUGGGAAAGGUGGACUGAUUGAUGAUAUUGCUUUGAUCAGGGAUGAUGAUGUUUUGUUUGUUUGUGAAGGAGAGCCAUUUAUUGAUCCUCAGACAGAUUCUAAGCCUCCUGAAGGACUGUUAGGAUUCCACACAGACUGGCUGACAUUAAAUGUUGGAGGGCGGUACUUUACAACUACACGCGUUACUCCUACCAGGUUGUAGCAUGCAUCUUUUUGAGAGAGCAGCUGGGAUCGAGUAUACUCUUGACUUAAAUAUGUUUGUUUAUAAAGACAAAUGGAGAAAUCAAUUUUUUUCCCUGAAUUCUUAGGAGCACUUUAGUGAAUAAAGAACCUGACAGUAUGCUGGCCCACAUGUUUAAGGAC